CCAGGGCAGGUCCUCCUCAGGCAGGUGGCAGGUGGCCAGAAGCAGCAGCAGCACCUGGCUAGCGUGGACAUCCUGUGGUGAAGUCACAGACUUCUGCUUGCUCCAGCACCACCACCAGCCUCCUUGGAUUUUCAGAGCCUGCCUCUGUCCCCAGGGGUGGCCUUGGCAAAAGAGGAAGUCAAAUCUGGAACCAAGGGGUCCCAGCCCAUGUCCCCCUCUGAUUUCCUAGACAAACUUAUGGGGCGAACAUCUGGAUAUGAUGCCAGGAUUCGGCCCAAUUUUAAAGGCCCACCCGUGAACGUGACCUGCAACAUCUUCAUCAACAGUUUCAGCUCCAUCACCAAGACCACAAUGGACUACCGGGUGAAUGUCUUCUUGCGGCAACAGUGGAAUGACCCACGCCUGUCCUACCGAGAAUAUCCUGAUGACUCUCUGGACCUCGAUCCCUCCAUGCUGGACUCUAUCUGGAAGCCAGACCUCUUCUUUGCUAAUGAGAAAGGGGCCAACUUCCAUGAGGUGACCACGGACAACAAG
This is a long non-coding RNA of Homo sapiens (human), 534 nucleotides long. The record is from Ensembl. NCBI's taxonomy places the organism in Eukaryota, Metazoa, Chordata, Mammalia, Primates, Hominidae.